RNAcentral lists this ribosomal RNA (813 nucleotides) under uncultured bacterium. RNAcentral's name for it is "bacterial SSU rRNA". It matches the Rfam family "Bacterial small subunit ribosomal RNA", at positions 8 to 796 of the family's 1533-position model. The record is from RNAcentral.
AGAGUUUGAUCAUGGCUCAGAGCGAACGCUGGCGGCGUACUUAACACAUGCAAGUCGAACGGGGAUCAUUGUGUGAGCAAUCAUGUGAUGGUCCUAGUGGCGCACGGGUGAGUAACACGUGGGUAACCUGCCCUCGAGACCGGGAUACCCCUUCGAAAGGGGGGCUAAUACCGGAUACGUUCCCCGGGUCGAAAGAUCUGAGGAAGAAAGGUGGCGUAAGCUGCCGCUCUUGGAGGGGCUCGCGGCCUAUCAGCUAGUUGGCGGGGUAACGGCCCACCAAGGCUAUGACGGGUAGCUGGUCUGAGAGGACGACCAGCCACACGGGGACUGAGACACGGCCCCGACUCCUACGGGAGGCAGCAGUGGGGAAUUUUCCGCAAUGGGCGAAAGCCUGACGGAGUGACGCCGCGUGUGGGAUGAAGGCCUUCGGGUCGUAAACCACUGUCAGUGGGAAAGAUGGGUGUCGGCGUGAUAACCGCCGGCAUCUGACGGUACCUGCAGAGGAAGCCCCGGCUAACUCUGUGCCAGCAGCCGCGGUAAGACAGAGGGGGCAAGCGUUGCUCGGAAUUACUGGGCGUAAAGGGCGCGUAGGCGGGAUGGCAAGUCGGUCGUGAAAUCCCUCGGCUCAACUGAGGAGCGUCGAUCGAAACUGCCGUUCUUGAGGGUUGCAGAGGAGACUGGAAUUCCCGGUGUAGCGGUGAAAUGUGUAGAGAUCGGGAGGAACACCGGUGGCGAAGGCGGGUCUCUGGGCAACUCCUGACGCUGAGGCGCGAAAGCGUGGGGAGCAAACGGGAUUAGAUACCCCGGUAGUCC